Molecule: non-coding RNA, 172 nt
Filed under: Streptomyces afghaniensis 772
Lineage: Bacteria; Bacillati; Actinomycetota; Actinomycetes; Kitasatosporales; Streptomycetaceae
Description: Bacterial large subunit ribosomal RNA
Rfam family: Bacterial large subunit ribosomal RNA
Source: Rfam by way of RNAcentral
CUGGUAGUAGGUGAGUGAUGGGGUGACGCAGGAAGGUAGUCCAGCCCGGGCGGUGGUUGUCCCGGGGUAAGGGUGUAGGCCGUGCGGUAGGUAAAUCCGUCGCACACAAGGCUGAGACCUGAUGCCGAGCCGAUUGUGGUGAAGUGGAUGAUCCUAUGCUGUCGAGAAAAGC